CAUCUAUUCUAGCCAACUGAACACAUUAACUAUCUGUAAUGCCCCAGAUUUCUUUUGCUAAUUGAUUGUGCCAAUAUGCUUAAAUAUAUAGAUGAAUAAGGUAAAGUCGAUAUUUGUAGACUAUGAUAUAAAAUAGGAAAAGGAAAAUGAGAGAGAGAGAGAGAGAGAGAGAGAGAGAGACUAUGGGAAAUAAAUGGAAGAGGCGUGUUGGCAUUUGAACCUUGGACCUCUCAGUAGUAGGCUGAAUACCAGUUGGCCUAUGUGGUGCUUUUGACUAAAUAGCAGAUUUUAGCUCUUUAAGCUUUCCAAAACGAGAGGAAAGAAAAUCCUAUAUGGGCUCAAGGCCCAGUCAGACUUGGCGUAGCCAUUGGUCGCUCCUUGCGCCGCUGUACGCUGCGCCCAAAUCCUGUUUCUCUCCUGUUACCCCUCACCAAAGCCUUCCUCUGGUCUUCCCAACAGAGGUUGCUGCCGUCGCUGCUGCUGGUGGUGGUUGCCGCCGCCGUGAGCCGCGAGGUUGCUGCUCUCCCCGACGCAUCUCCUCUCCGUGGUCGUUGCCGAGCAGGGGUGGCUGCUGGGCGUCGUGUCGCUAGCAGUAAAUCCUGAGGACGACAUGCAUGGAAGUCUUGGGAGUAGCAUCUUCACCGUUUUCACUUCACGGAACUCACACCUAUUGUCCUUUAGGACCGUGUUUUGAGAACCUAGUAUAGUUGUACUUUACUACCUGUGGUGGUUCAUCUUGAAUUGGAGAGAUACCCUCUUGGUCUGUAUGGCUUAGCUAAUUUCCCCUUAAGACUAACGCUAUCGCCUAAAGUUACCGAGGAUGUUCUCGGUUAUGGUAUUGUAGCCUUGUGCUUUACACCGGUGCUAGUUCUUUGCGAUAUAUAUACUAUAUGAAUUGCAUGU
This is a long non-coding RNA of Triticum aestivum (bread wheat), 903 nucleotides long. RefSeq lists it as uncharacterized. The record is from RefSeq and is a predicted model, not a curated record. The transcript is spliced from 2 exons. NCBI's taxonomy places the organism in Eukaryota, Viridiplantae, Streptophyta, Magnoliopsida, Poales, Poaceae.